RNAcentral lists this long non-coding RNA (533 nucleotides) under Rattus norvegicus (Norway rat). Its description in RNAcentral is "long non-coding RNA NONRATT021078". The record is from RNAcentral. Lineage: Eukaryota; Metazoa; Chordata; Mammalia; Rodentia; Muridae.
UGCCUGAUAGAGAACAGAGAGGUACCUGGGAGGCAUCCACAGGGGAUCUGAGCUCUUGGAAGGUCUGAGGCUGGAUGUUACUGGUGGUCACAAGCCCACGCACCUUACUAUCCAGACUCUCGCUUGGUCUUUAGAUCCGUGUGCUUGGUUUACAGACCAAUGGUUUCUCGGCCCAGGACCCGAGAAGGAGCUCUACCAUGGGGGAAGGAACCACUGGAGUUUGAAGGCUCCUGAGAGCUUGGCCUUUUUACUGUUGGGCCGUCUCUUAAACCUCCUAAUACUGAGUUGGUACUUUUGGUCCCUAUUUCACAAGGGUUAGGACAGAUUAACCAAGAAAGGACAAGUGACAGAGACUGAAAGGGGCUGGAAAAACAAAUAGGGAAAGGCCUGUCACUACAGUAUAAUUGAUGGUUCCUAUCACAAGCCUGGGUCACAAACAGAUUAAUUUGUUCUAUGUUUAUAUACUGUUUAGAAUGUUAACACAGGAAGGUGGAUAAAAUACAGUUUCUAGUGCCAAAAAAAAAAAAAAAAAA